This 428-nucleotide ribosomal RNA is filed under the name uncultured Oscillospiraceae bacterium. RNAcentral's name for it is "bacterial SSU rRNA". It matches the Rfam family "Bacterial small subunit ribosomal RNA", at positions 354 to 796 of the family's 1533-position model. Lineage: Bacteria; Bacillati; Bacillota; Clostridia; Eubacteriales; Oscillospiraceae. The record is from RNAcentral.
GUGGGGGAUAUUGCACAAUGGGCGCAAGCCUGAUGCAGCAACGCCGCGUGAGGGAGGACGGUCUUCGGAUUGUAAACCUCUGUCCUUGGGGAAGAAACAAAUGACGGUACCCUUGGAGGAAGCCACGGCUAACUACGUGCCAGCAGCCGCGGUAAUACGUAGGUGGCAAGCGUUGUCCGGAUUUACUGGGUGUAAAGGGAGCGCAGGCGGGACGGCAAGUUGGAUGUGAAAAACUGAGGCUCAACCUCAGUCCUGCAUCCAAAACUGUUGUUCUUGAGUGGAGCAGAGGUAAGCGGAAUUCCGAGUGUAGCGGUGAAAUGCGUAGAUAUUCGGAGGAACACCAGUGGCGAAGGCGGCUUACUGGACUCUAACUGACGCUGAGGCUCGAAAGCGUGGGGAGCAAACAGGAUUAGAUACCCCAGUAGUCC